This 253-nucleotide ribosomal RNA is filed under the name uncultured bacterium. Its description in RNAcentral is "partial 16S ribosomal RNA". It matches the Rfam family "Bacterial small subunit ribosomal RNA", at positions 524 to 776 of the family's 1533-position model. The record is from RNAcentral.
UACAGAGGUCUCAAGCGUUGUUCGGAUUCAUUGGGUGUAAAGGGUGCGUAGGUGGCGCUGUAAGUCGGGUGUGAAAUUUCGGAGCUUAACUCCGAAACUGCAUUCGAUACUGCGGUGCUUGAGGACUGGAGAGGAGACUGGAAUUCAUGGUGUAGCAGUGAAAUGCGUAGAGAUCAUGAGGAAGACCAGUGGCGAAGGCGGGUCUCUGGACAGUUCCUGACACUGAGGCACGAAGGCCAGGGGAGCAAACGGG